RNAcentral lists this ribosomal RNA (608 nucleotides) under Enterobacter hormaechei. Its description in RNAcentral is "bacterial SSU rRNA". It matches the Rfam family "Bacterial small subunit ribosomal RNA", at positions 553 to 1162 of the family's 1533-position model. The record is from RNAcentral. Lineage: Bacteria; Pseudomonadati; Pseudomonadota; Gammaproteobacteria; Enterobacterales; Enterobacteriaceae.
ACUGGGCGUAAGCGCACGCAGGCGGUCUGUCAAGUCGGAUGUGAAAUCCCCGGGCUCAACCUGGGAACUGCAUUCGAAACUGGCAGGCUAGAGUCUUGUAGAGGGGGGUAGAAUUCCAGGUGUAGCGGUGAAAUGCGUAGAGAUCUGGAGGAAUACCGGUGGCGAAGGCGGCCCCCUGGACAAAGACUGACGCUCAGGUGCGAAAGCGUGGGGAGCAAACAGGAUUAGAUACCCUGGUAGUCCACGCCGUAAACGAUGUCGACUUGGAGGUUGUGCCCUUGAGGCGUGGCUUCCGGAGCUAACGCGUUAAGUCGACCGCCUGGGGAGUACGGCCGCAAGGUUAAAACUCAAAUGAAUUGACGGGGGCCCGCACAAGCGGUGGAGCAUGUGGUUUAAUUCGAUGCAACGCGAAGAACCUUACCUACUCUUGACAUCCAGAGAACUUUCCAGAGAUGGAUUGGUGCCUUCGGGAACUCUGAGACAGGUGCUGCAUGGCUGUCGUCAGCUCGUGUUGUGAAAUGUUGGGUUAAGUCCCGCAACGAGCGCAACCCUUAUCCUUUGUUGCCAGCGGUUAGGCCGGGAACUCAAAGGAGACUGCCAGUGAUAAA